GAUGAACGCUGGCGGCGUGCCUAAUACAUGCAAGUCGAGCGAACAGACGAGGAGCUUGCUCCUCUGACGUUAGCGGCGGACGGGUGAGUAACACGUGGAUAACCUACCUAUAAGACUGGGAUAACUUCGGGAAACCGGAGCUAAUACCGGAUAAUAUCUUGAACCGCAUGGUUCAAUAGUGAAAGACGGUUUUGCUGUCACUUAUAGAUGGAUCCGCGCUGCAUUAGCUAGUUGGUAAGGUAACGGCUUACCAAGGCAACGAUGCGUAGCCGACCUGAGAGGGUAAUCGGCCACACUGGAACUGAGACACGGUCCAGACUCCUACGGGAGGCAGCAGUAGGGAAUCUUCCGCAAUGGGCGAAAGCCUGACGGAGCAACGCCGCGUGAGUGAUGAAGGUCUUCGGAUCGUAAAACUCUGUUAUUAGGGAAGAACAAAUGUGUAAGUAACUAUGCACUUCUUGACGGUACCUAAUCAGAAAGCCACGGCUAACUACGUG
RNAcentral lists this ribosomal RNA (497 nucleotides) under uncultured bacterium. Its description in RNAcentral is "partial 16S ribosomal RNA". It matches the Rfam family "Bacterial small subunit ribosomal RNA", at positions 28 to 507 of the family's 1533-position model. The record is from RNAcentral.